AGGACGAACGCUGGCGGCGUGCUUAACACAUGCAAGUCGAGCGGAAAGGCCCUUCGGGGUACUCGAGCGGCGAACGGGUGAGUAACACGUGAGCAACCUGCCCCUGGCUCUGGGAUAGCCUCCGGAAAACGGGGAUUAAUACCGGACAUUCACUUCCUUCCGCAUGGUUGGUGGUGGAAAGUUUUUUCGGCCGGGGAGGGGCUCGCGGCCUAUCAGCUUGUUGGCGGGGUAACGGCCCACCAAGGCGACGACGGGUAG
This 258-nucleotide ribosomal RNA is filed under the name uncultured bacterium. RNAcentral's name for it is "partial small subunit ribosomal RNA". It matches the Rfam family "Bacterial small subunit ribosomal RNA", at positions 26 to 286 of the family's 1533-position model. The record is from RNAcentral.